AUUGAACGCUGGCGGCAUGCUUUACACAUGCAAGUCGAACGGCAGCGCGGGCUUCGGCCUGGCGGCGAGUGGCGAACGGGUGAGUAAUGCAUCGGAACGUGCCCAGUAGUGGGGGAUAGCCCGGCGAAAGCCGGAUUAAUACCGCAUACGACCUGAGGGUGAAAGCGGGGGACCGAAAGGCCUCGCGCUAUUGGAGCGGCCGAUGUCGGAUUAGCUAGUUGGUGGGGUAAAGGCUUACCAAGGCGACGAUCUGUAGCUGGUCUGAGAGGACGACCAGCCACACUGGGACUGAGGCACGGCCCAGACUCCUACGGGAGGCAGCAGUGGGGAAUUUUGGACAAUGGGGGCAACCCUGAUCCAGCCAUGCCGCGUGCGGGAAGAAGGCCUUCGGGUUGUAAACCGCUUUUGUUCGGGAAGAAAUCCUCUGGGCUAAUACCCCGGGGGGAUGACGGUACCGGAAGAAUAAGCACCGGCUAACUACGUG
RNAcentral lists this ribosomal RNA (484 nucleotides) under uncultured bacterium. Its description in RNAcentral is "partial 16S ribosomal RNA". It matches the Rfam family "Bacterial small subunit ribosomal RNA", at positions 28 to 507 of the family's 1533-position model. The record is from RNAcentral.